CGCGUUGGCAACAAUCGUGCAGUAGGAGGGAGAGGAGCUGAGAGGCUCCUAUCUCAACUACUGCACCAAGGGAGCAGGGGAGGGCGGAGCGUCAGGGGCUCCACUCUCAACUGCUGCACAGGGGAGGGCGGAGAGUGAGAGGCUCCUAUCUCAACUGUGCAUGGGGGUGCAUGGGGAGGGCGGAGCGUGAGAGGCUCCACUCGCAACUGUGCAUGGCGGUGCAGGGGAGGGCGGAGCGUGAGAGGCUCCACUCUCAACUGCAUGGGGGUGCAGUGGAGGUCGGAGCGUGAGAGGCUCCAAUCUCAACUGCUGCACCCAGGAAGCAGAGGAGGACGUGAGUCCUUUUUCUGUUGUAGGCGUUAUAAAGCGUUAAAGCUUUAAAGGGCCAAUAAUAUAACUAAAGCUUCAGAGGAAGCAAAACUUUAAUGCCAGCGGGUGCACCCUAUAAAAUGGCUAAAAUGGUUUCAAGGUAUUUCCUCGGUUCUCGGUAUUUCAUGGUUUCAAGGUAUUUUACUGGUUCUCAGUAUUUCAAGGUUUCACAAGGGGUUUCUCGGGCUCAAUCUCAACUGCUGCACCCAGAGAGGGAGCAGGGGAGGACCUGAUUCACUUUUCUGUUCUCGGCUUUAUAAAGCUACAUUUAAAGGUUUAUAUAGGACCAAUAUUACUAAAGCUUCAGAGGAAGCAAAACUUUAAUGCCAGCGGGUGCACCCUUUAAACUGGCUAAAAUGGUUUCAAGGUUUCAUGGUUUCUCAAGGGAUUUCUCAGGUUCAAUCUCAACUGCUGCACCCAGAGAGGGAGCAGGCGAGGACCUGAGUCCCUUUUCUGUUCUUGGCUUUAUAAAGCUACAUUUAAAGGUUUAUAUAGGACCAAUACUAUUAUAAAGCUUCAGAGGAAGCAAAAACUUUAAUAGCCCUAUAAAAUGGCUAAAAUGGUUUCACAAGGUCUUGUGGUAUUUCAUGGUUUACAAGAGACCCCAAGGUUUUCCAAGGGGUUUCUCAAAUAUGUUACAGCACAAAACAGUGACUUUCAACAUGACCUUCAAACGGCACUUAGCUGUGAUGUAGGCUGUUUGACUGUGCUGUGUGGCUGUGUGGCUGUGUGCUGCGCUCUCUGCGCAGUGCAAUGUAUUGUUUUGGUGCAGUGCAUUGGGUGAAAUGUACUGUUUCUGGAGUUGGUCCAGGCUAUUGGGUGCAAUACAUUUUAUUGGGUGCUAGCCAAAGACAAUGGAUCCGUCGCAAUGCAACACAAGACAUAGAAGCUUGUGAUCCACAGUCCCCUCCCCUAACGGUCCUCGUCCACCUGAACGAAAAAGGGUGGCAAAUCUCCCCCCAAACUCGACUGUGGCUAAAGUGACUGCUGUCUGUUGCUGCUUUGUGACCGAUACAAUGGAACUGGAUUGGACCAAAUGGAACUGGAUUGGACCAAGUGGAACUGGAUCGGAUCCUAUGGAACUGGAUUGAACCCGAUGGAACUGGAAUUGGACUAUCUUACCGUAGCAUAUCUCUUUUGUAAAAAAGAUCUGUUGUACAGAUCUGUUGUACAUGUAGUUUGUUGCAUCUGUCCUCUCAUUGUAUGACGAGUCAGAACUGAGCUGUGAUUUAAGUCACUGGGGUGUUUGCUGCUGCUGCUGCUGCUUUUACUAAUCUAUUCCAGAAGAGACGUACUUCUGGAAUAGCCCCCCCGGUCAGUGGCCACCAUGAGACAGAAGAACCUAUGGUGGUGAGUAUCCCAAUCUCCUCCUGUGGCUUGAGUAACUGGUGUUUGUUGCUGCUUUGUGGGGGGGGGGGUUUCUUUUUUACUCCUAUUCCAGAAGAGAGACGUACUUCUGGAAUAGCCCCCCUGGUCAGUGGCCACCAUGAGACAGAAGAACCUAUGGUGGUGAGUAUCCCAAUCUCCUCCUGUGGCUUGAGUAACUGGUGUUUGUUGCUGCUUUGUGGUUUGUUUUUUUUCCCCCUUAUUUAUUCCAGAAAGGAGACCCAACAUGGAGACCUUGAGGCAACGCUUGGCGGAUCUCCACGACAUCUCAGAACAUGUUACAUUAUUACGUUGUUACAUCUGUAUAAGUGUUUCAAUGUAUGCUCUUAAACAAAAACUUAGUCAAAGCGACGUUUGAAGUAAAACCUUAAAGUUGCUUCCACAGCAACACAAAACUUAGUCAAAGCGACGUUUGAAGUAAAACCUUAAAGUUGCUGCCACAGCAACACAAAACUUAGUCAAAGCGACGUUAAAAGUAAAACCUUAAAGUUGCUGCCACAGCAACACAAAACUUAGUCAAAGCGACGUUAAAAGUAAAACCUUAAAGUUGCCACAGCAACAAAACUUUAUAUUAAAAGCACAAAAUGGGGGCCCCUUGUGUGUUUUACAUUGCUGUAACAUGUUUUGGUCGAUGUUGUUCUGCUCCUGUUCUCGCUGUCUUGUCUCUACCUCCUAUCUCCUAUCACCCCAACCGGUCGAGGCAGAUGGCCGCACACCUUGAGUCUGGUUCUGUCAGAGAUUUCUUCCUGUUAAAAGGGAGUUUUUUCUCUCCACUGUUGGCACUUGUGCUUGCUCAUUGUGUGAAUUGUUGGGUUUCUCUUCUCUCUAAGAUAAAAUGGACUUACUGAUAGAAAUGUUAAUCGCAGCUAAGUCAGACAACAACAACACUCCAUGCACCCACACACUUAGUUCAGGACAGAGUGAGAGUAGUCAGCGUUAGCAACGUUUGUGUUUCAAUGUUUGUUUGUCAUUGUUGUCUGCGUCAUUCAUGUUGUAAACGUCCCCUUCUUUUGUCUCCGUCCUCUAUCUUCCCCAAUCCCUCUUCCCCUUUUCCCAUUGAUGACCGUUCACAGUGCAGGGACUGUAAUGGACUCUUCGCUGUGAACGAAGAGCAAAACUGUCCGACACUAACAGACUCACAGUCCUGUCAGACUGUUUGUCUAAGUUGUGGGACAGGACAUAUCAAUGAGACGAGGUCCGAGACACACUUUGUCCAUGUUUGCGUGACAAGGAGAGGAGAAAAGAGGAGACGAGGAAAGGAUGAUGGAGCAGCAUCAGCCUCUGCAGGAGGACGGAGACGAUAACGUGAAGUUGCCCCAGGUUAAUUUUCUGUUUUCAUGCGUUCACAGAAACCAGCAGCGAAACACAUGGACUGGAUUUCACUGACUGGACUGGAUGUGAUUUACCUGUUUUUAGUGCGGCCAGCUGGGGGCGCCACAGCCACUUCACCCCAUCAGCGUGGAUUAAGAAGUUUGAAGUUUUUGUAUAAAUUAAUAGAAAAUGGCUCUUUAUUUUUUUUCCAUUGCUUUGAAAAGUCACCUGAUUAUUUACACUUUAACUUCAUUUAUAAUUCACACUUAAGUGUUGCAUUGGGAGUUGUUCCGUCUUUUGUAUUUGUGAAGAAUAAGUUAACUGUUCAUUUUUAUUUAUUCUUUGGAAUAUUUUCUGGUUUCUUUGCUCCAUAGAAAAAAGAAGUCAUUACAACAGAAUCAUUUGAGAACAUCAUCAUUUCCAGGUUUGACAAACACUGAUCAAUAUUUUUCUACAUUUCAUGACAUUUCAUGGACCAAACUACUACUCCAUUCAUCGAGAAAAUUAAUUGAUUAUAAAUAUAUUCGUUAGCUGCAGCUCUACUACGGUGGCCUUGAAGUGCAAAUCACCAACACAAAUGGGAAAACACAACAUUAACUGAAAUGCAACAACCAGUUUCAGUUAAUGUUCUUGUGUUUUGGUUGUUUUAGCUGAUGUUGUUUCAGUUGAUGUCGUUGACGUUUGUGUUUCAGUUGCCGUUGUUGGGUUUCCAUUGGCGGUGUUGGGUUUCAGUUGCCGUUGUAGGGUUUCGGUUGACGGUGUUGUGUUUCAGUUGCCGUUGUUUUCCUAUUUGUGUUGGUGAUUUGCACUUCAAGGCCACCGUAGUAGAGCUACAGGUAACAAUUAUAUUUAUAAUCAAUUAAUUCUCGAUGAAUAGAAUAAUCGUUUGGUCCAUGAAAUGUCAUGAAAUGUAGAAAAAUACUGAUCAGUGUUUGUCAAACCUGGAAAUGAUGAUGUUCUCAAAUGAUUCAGUUUAAAUGAUUUAUUUGUUCUAUGGAGCAAAGAAACCAGAAAAUACUCACAUUUAAGAAGCUAAAACAAUCAUAAAUCUUGUUUUUAAUAAUGACAAACCCAUUAUCAAAAUAGUUGACGAUUCAUUUAAUGUAAUGGAUUAUUCGAGUAAUUGUUUUAGCCCUACACCGUAGUCAUGUAUUGCUAACUGCAUUUUCUUUCUUUUCUAUUUGCUUUGCAUGAAAACUGCUUUAAGGAAAGAGUCUGAAUUAAACCUAAUCCUAUAUAUUUAUUUUUUUUUACUUUACCUUUCUUUUUCAACUUAUUAUAUGCUGUGUUGUUUGACUAUUUUUCUGCUUUGUAUUUAUGUCUCUGUGCAGCAUCUUGAAUUUGCCUUUUAUGUAAAGAAGAAUGUUUCUUUUUAAAUAACCUGGUCACUGUCAUUUGUGUAUACAUUUACAAAUGAUCCAAAGUGAAAAUGGUUAGCUUCUGGUGUAACACUGAUGUUGAUGACUUCAUUGUCUUACAACUAAUAAAAUGGCCAAUCACUUUAAA
Solea solea (common sole) is the source of this 4572-nucleotide long non-coding RNA. RefSeq lists it as uncharacterized. NCBI's taxonomy places the organism in Eukaryota, Metazoa, Chordata, Actinopteri, Pleuronectiformes, Soleidae. The record is from RefSeq and is a predicted model, not a curated record. The transcript is spliced from 8 exons.